GGACGGGUGAGUAAUGCCUAGGAAUCUGCCUGGUAAAGGGGGAUAACGUUCGGAAACGAACGCUAAUACCGCAUACGUCCUACGGGAGAAAGCAGGGGACCUUCGGGCCUUGCGCUAUCAGAUGAGCCUAGGUCGGAUUAGCUAGUUGGUGAGGUAAUGGCUCACCAAGGCGACGAUCCGUAACUGGUCUGAGAGGAUGAUCAGUCACACUGGAACUGAGACACGGUCCAGACUCCUACGGGAGGCAGCAGUGGGGAAUAUUGGACAAUGGGCGAAAGCCUGAUCCAGCCAUGCCGCGUGUGUGAAGAAGGUCUUCGGAUUGUAAAGCACUUUAAGUUGGGAGGAAGGGCAGUUACCUAAUACGUGAUUGUUUUGACGUUACCGACAGAAUAAGCACCGGCUAACUCUGUGCCAGCAGCCGCGGUAAUACAGAGGGUGCAAGCGUUAAUCGGAAUUACUGGGCGUAAAGCGCGCGUAGGUGGUUUGUUAAGUUGGAUGUGAAAUCCCCGGGCUCAACCUGGGAACUGCAUUCAAAACUGACUGACUAGAGUAUGGUAGAGGGUGGUGGAAUUUCCUGUGUAGCGGUGAAAUGCGUAGAUAUAGGAAGGAACACCAGUGGCGAAGGCGACCACCUGGACUAAUACUGA
Molecule: ribosomal RNA, 647 nt
Filed under: Pseudomonas fluorescens
Lineage: Bacteria; Pseudomonadati; Pseudomonadota; Gammaproteobacteria; Pseudomonadales; Pseudomonadaceae
Description: bacterial SSU rRNA
Rfam family: Bacterial small subunit ribosomal RNA
Source: RNAcentral